GACGAACGCUGGCGGCGUGCUUAACACAUGCAAGUCGAACGGAAAGGCCCUGCUUUUGUGGGGUGCUCGAGUGGCGAACGGGUGAGUAACACGUGAGUAACCUGCCCUUGACUUUGGGAUAACUUCAGGAAACUGGGGCUAAUACCGGAUAGGAGCUCCUGCUGCAUGGUGUGGGUUGGAAAGUUUCGGCGGUUGGGGAUGGACUCGCGGCUUAUCAGCUUGUUGGUGGGGUAGUGGCUUACCAAGGCUUUGACGGGUAGCCGGCCUGAGAGGGUGACCGGCCACAUUGGGACUGAGAUACGGCCCAGAAGCCUACGGGAGGCAGCAGUGGGGAAUAUUGCACAAUGGGCGGAAGCCUGAUGCAGCAACGCCGCGUGCGGGAUGACGGCCUUCGGGUGGUAAACCGCUUUCGCCUGUGACGAAGCGUGAGUGACGGUAAUGGGUAAAGAAGCACCGGCUAACUACGUG
RNAcentral lists this ribosomal RNA (468 nucleotides) under uncultured bacterium. Its description in RNAcentral is "partial 16S ribosomal RNA". It matches the Rfam family "Bacterial small subunit ribosomal RNA", at positions 28 to 507 of the family's 1533-position model. The record is from RNAcentral.